This 253-nucleotide ribosomal RNA is filed under the name uncultured bacterium. Its description in RNAcentral is "partial 16S ribosomal RNA". It matches the Rfam family "Bacterial small subunit ribosomal RNA", at positions 524 to 776 of the family's 1533-position model. The record is from RNAcentral.
UACGUAGGGUGCGAGCGUUAAUCGGAAUUACUGGGCGUAAAGGGUGCGCAGGCGGUUUUGUAAGCCAGAUGUGAAAUCCCCGGGCUUAACCUGGGAACUGCAUUUGUGGCUGCAUGGCUGGAGUGCGGCAGAGGGGGAUGGAAUUCCGCGUGUAGCAGUGAAAUGCGUAGAUAUGCGGAGGAACACCGAUGGCGAAGGCAAUCCCCUGGGCCUGCACUGACGCUCAUGCACGAAGGCCAGGGGAGCAAACGGG